This is a long non-coding RNA of Prosopis cineraria, 822 nucleotides long. RefSeq lists it as uncharacterized. The record is from RefSeq and is a predicted model, not a curated record. NCBI's taxonomy places the organism in Eukaryota, Viridiplantae, Streptophyta, Magnoliopsida, Fabales, Fabaceae. The transcript has 3 exons.
UAUUCCUGUCUUCUCUUCCAUAUGCUAAAGUCAAUCUCUCCUCUUACAACAAAUGCAUAGUAAUUGCGUGCCUUUAUUAAUUGUUAUUUUAUUUUUUUAAGAGAAAUAACAUCGAAAGAUUUUUCUUCAGCCUAAUCUUGCAUUAGUUUGAGAUUUCAAAGCCUACAUUCAAUUUGCAAAUUCGAAGAGCUACUUCGUGAAGAGGCAACACUUGAAAACAUCCCCUGAAGGCCCCAUAUGGCGGCUAGUAGAUUUUCAAACAGUUUGAAGAAGGGAGCAUCUUAGAGAAAUGAGUGGAAGAAUGAAUUAGAAGUGUAAACUAAAUAAUUAAAUGAAGAAGAAAUUUGGUGAGGAAGCAUCCUCCUUUCAAAUUUGUUAUUGGGAUAAGAUUUGUUUCUCCCAGAUUACAACUCUAGUUUUUGUUUGGCAUAUAGAAUAAUAACUUGGAAGCCUUCGCAUCAUGACUAUUACAAGAAAAGAAGUUAGUUGAUGAGCAUCAACUCAACAAAGGAAUGAGAAAGAAAAAAAUGUGAAUUUUUCAGAAAUUUCAACAAUGUCAAUAGUCAAAAGGUACAUGACUAUACAUCGGAAGAGUCUCCUUGUUGUUAGAAGGCAAAAUAGAUUUUUAGUGAGUUGGUAUUUUUUUUUUUUUCUAUUCUACUUCUGUUUUUAGUUUUUAUAAUCUUUUUCUUUUAUCUUAUUGUAAGACUAAAAAUUUUAUAAAUUAGAAUUGUGUUUCUAUGAAUCGUGGUCAUGAAGUUAGAGGUUAGGUGUAUAGAUAGAAGGAUCCUAAGUUGUGGCUUGUACAUUUUUUUUUUCUUU